AUAUACAGCAUGGGACGGAACUAAUUUUUGAAGCGAGUGUGGGGGCUGUCGGGCGCUCCGCCAUUUCCUCUUGCCCCUAAAGCUGUUAAACUAAAUUAUAGGCCUGGGCGAAUGAGAGGCCAGCUGUGCUUCAGCUGCGGGCCCCAGUUGUUGUGACAAAGUGAAAAGUGUGGGCACCAACAGAUCAUUAACUGCGGAGCCAAAAAUAAGCUGAUGAUGGAAUCACAUGCUCUAAGGGGACAGGAGAACGGGGCCCGUCUAACGCGAGUGCUGGUUCCGGCCCAGGAGGGGACUAAGCCUUACCAGCCAGAGAAGUGAGCUAAGGACAACACCUUAUGCAAUUUGUAUCAGGCUGAAAUUAUCGUGGCUAUCUCCCAUGGAGACAAACUUGAGUGGGUGCCUGGGAGAGCCUGACUGCUCUUUUGUCCAUGCCUUGGAAUGAGCUCUGACUACAUCUUGGGAGAACAGAGGCCCAGCUUGUGGAAUACUCCCUUGGGCCACCUCUGCACUGGAAGAGCUGGCCUUUCAUCCAGGUUCAUUUUCCUUGCCAGGUUCCUCGAUGAAAAGAAGAACAACAAUCUCAGCCCAAGCAGAAGACACAGACUUGAAAUAUCACUUUCUUGGGAGAGCAGUCCCAUCCCAGUGUGACCAGCAUCAUGGAUCCAUCCAGCUUGGUUUAGAGAGAUGAUUAACAGGGAUAAGAGCACGAGAUACCCUUUGGUUCUCCUAAAGAUAUUUGCACUGCUCUCGAUUUAUAAGCUAUUCUUUCCUAAACAGUGUUGUGAGACUUUUGCAAUAAAAUGUAGCCCACCACUUUCCAAAUGUUUGAUCAAAGAAUUCUUCUUUUGAGGGGAGGAGGGUAAGAGAACUGCAUUAUUUGGGCUGCUAUGGAAUUCUGCUUUGGAGUCGUGCUCUUGGCAUACAGUAACAGAAGCUUAUAAAAGAGACUGAUGAACUUCACUUGUGUUUGUUGUACAAAUAUUAAGAAUAUGGUUCAUUUUUUAAAAAUCUCCUGUCCUUUUCAUGAGGAUGCAUGGGAGGAUUUUCCCUUCCUUAGUGCCAGAAAUAGUUGUGUUUUCCUUAGAAACUGUAUUAAUCUUACGGUCUCUUGUAACUAUAUGAUUGAUUGUCUUCCUAUGUGAAUUGGCUGACAGAAAGUUCUUUCCACAAGAAAUGUGUGAGUUCACAUGAAGCCAAGGUGGUCAAUGAACUUG
This 1214-nucleotide long non-coding RNA is filed under the name Equus caballus (horse). Its description in RNAcentral is "lncRNA (ENSECAG00000055313.1)". Lineage: Eukaryota; Metazoa; Chordata; Mammalia; Perissodactyla; Equidae. The record is from RNAcentral.